This 3923-nucleotide long non-coding RNA is filed under the name Sus scrofa (pig). Its description in RNAcentral is "lncRNA (ENSSSCG00025056265.1)". The record is from RNAcentral. Lineage: Eukaryota; Metazoa; Chordata; Mammalia; Artiodactyla; Suidae.
GGAGUUCCUCUGCGGCUCAGCAGGUUAAGAAUCCAGUAUUGUCACUGCUGUGGUGCAGAUUUGACCCCUGUCUCAGGAAUUUCCACAUACUGCAGGGAUGGCCAAAAAAAAAAAAAAGGAAAGAAGCAGUUGAAUCCUUGUCAAUGGUGUCAAGCCAAAACAUAACUGUUAUGUCUUUCUCAAUAAACAUGAUAACAGUUAAAAAUUAUAUAACUUUGUCAAAGUUAAGUCAUAGGCAAAAAUCCUGUAUAUCACUAGGCAUAACCUCUCAAGAGGUAACAUCAGCUAUUAUGGAAGAACUUGCACAUUUUCAUAAUCAUUUUGGGAGUUCCCUUGUGGCACAGCAGGGUUAAGGAUCUGGAGUUGUUACUGCAGCAGCUUGGGUUGCUUCUGUGUUGUAUGUUCCACCCCUGGUUCAGGAACUUCCAUGUGCCAGAGGUAUGGCCCAAAAAUAAUUAUUUUUGGAUAAGUUCUCUAGCCCUCUAUAUUAUUUCACUAAUAUUGACAGCUAAACUGAUUUAUACACAUACAUUCUAUCCACAAGUAGAACAAUUUGCACCAUCUACCAGCCACCAUUAUAAUCUUUUUUUUCUUCUUUUUCAGCCACCCCAUGGCAUAAGCAGUUCCCGGGCCAGGGAUCAAAUUCAAGCCACAAUUGCAAGCUACACCACACUGUGGCAACACUGGAUCCUUUAACCCACUGUGCUGGGCAGGGAAAUUGAACCUGUGCUGCAGAGAUGCCACUGAUCCUGUUGUGCCACAGUGAGAAUUCCCACCAUUGUAAUCUUAAUUGCCCUAUUAUCAUUGUGAGUCCUGUACAUGAGACAUGAAAUCAAUAACCCUUCCCUAAACAUAAAAACUACAGUUCAUCAGUGAUACUGAAGCUAUGAAUACAGAUUAUAAAGACUUAAAUUUUGACUCCUCUGUAACCCCACAUUAGAUCUAAAAUCUGAAGUAUGACUAACAGAAGUCAACAAUCAUGUAGCAUAGUCAUCAAAUAUUAAUUUCCUCUGAAAAUGUUUUACACUCAUAAACUCUUCCCUCUUUAGGCCUAAAAACAGCUGCUAUACCAGGAUGCCUAAAUUAAAGGGCCCUGAUAGCGACUAGGCCUAUGUUGCGAACAAUGAUCAGCAGACAUCAUUUUAUUGUGUUCAAGAUGGGACAGAGGGAGACAGCUGAGACGUGGGGCGAAUCCAGAGCUGUGCUGGGUGGGCACCCAACAUGGGAAUGAGCCAAGUCCCUGGGACCUGCUAGGGCUGUGAAAGAAGUGUGGGGUCUGUCUCUUCCCCCAGCGCUUGUCCCAGAGAAGUCAGUUCCCACCACUUUUUACUUUGGUUCUGGGUUAUUUUAAUUGUUUCUAACCUUAUGUACUAAAGUUGAACACACUACUUUUGUUAUGGCAGGCUAGGCCAUUUCCUGUCUUGCAGAAAACUCAUGAGAAAGCAGGGAUGAAAGAGGAGGUCAGGUCUGGAUUCUGUUGAGUAGGAAUGGGCAGCCAGAAGGAGACCCCAGAGGCAACUUCCCCUGCUGCUGGUUCAGCAAUCAAUUCACCAGGCAAAACUGCCUCCCUCUUCACCUUGUGCAUCCUGGUGAAUUAGUUCAUCAUUUAUUUAUUUAAUGGCUAUACCCACAGCAUAUGGAAGUUUCUGGGCCAGGGAUUGAAUAUGAGCUGCAGCUUAGACCUAUGCUGCAGCUGCAGCAAUGCUGGAUCCUUUAACCCUCUGAGCCAGGCCAGGUGUUGAAGGUGUACCUCUGCGUGAACUAGAGCUGAUGAAGUCAGAUUCUUAACCCACUGCACCAGAGCAGGAACUCCCUGUUGAACUGGUUUAAUAAUGAGGUAGUUCACCUGAGGAGCCUCUACCAGCCCCAGGACUAAGACCCUUCCCAAUGCAAUGAACCCUGGAAGGCAGGGAACCACACUCAGAGCAGAGGUUGUGGCCAGACAAGCCUACCUCAGCUUUGGAUCUGACAUCUAAACACAGACAGAGGCAUAGAGCUUCCCAGGACUGAGACCUGUCUGGGUCUCUACUCAGGACUCCAUGUCUCCUGAAAAGUUCUUAGGACUGAGGCUGGGUCUCUAGCAGGUCCUAGUGUGGACAGAACCUGGUCAGGACUAAACAUAUGCAGUAAACAGGGCGUGGAAAGGUCUAAAUUUACCAUGUCAACAGAACUCAGUCAGGUUUAAACUAGUUUAGGGCUGCUCUCCUGGGAGGCACAGGUCACAUGUGGGGUCUCUCACCUCUGGACAGGGGCUUACACUUGGCAGGAAGUAGGAUGUUCACUUCUUGAAGAAAUAAUCAACAACAGGCUCCACAUUUCACCUCUAUCAGUAAACUGCACAAAAUGUUUGUCAUUAAAACAUUUUAACAUGCAAAACAAAAAAGUUACCAAUUUAUCUGGCCACAUGAUGGUCAGGACCCAGAAGUCAGCUGGGAGCUUCUUGCAUUGCAGCCCCAGCUCCCACAAGGACAGACCAGAAAUGACCCAAUUCCACCAUCCGUAUUAUUGACAACCAAAAAGACUCAUACAUGUACACUAGAUGCACAAGUAGGACAACUUGGACCAUUUGUUAGCCACCAUUAUAAUCUUAAUUNCAUGAGACAUAAAAUAAUCCUUUCCUAACCAUGAAACUACAGGUCAUCAAUGAUACUGAAUCUACAGAUACACAGAUUACGAAGAUUUAAAUUUUGACUCACCUCUAUAAUCUUUACAUCAGAUCUAAAACUUGGAAAAUUAUGACAAAAAGAAGUCAACAACAAAGCAGUAUAGUCAUCAAAUAUCAGUUUCCUCUGAAAAUGUUUCACACUCAUGAGCUGCUUCCUUUAAGCCUAAAAACAGCUGCUAUCUGAGGUGUCUAAAUUUAAAGGAUCCUGAUAUGAACAGGAUCAGGCCUAUUUUGUGGACAAUGAUGAGUAGAAGUGCACCCACUGCCCACUCAGAGUGAUUGCCUGCUCCUGGCUGGUUCCACGUCCUCCUCUGAGGGGACCAGCUCACAAAGCCUCCUCUUAGGAAAAUUCCCUUUGCAAACCUUCCCUUCAGUAGGAUGCGUGUUGCAAAUCCUUCAUUUGAUGGGAUUUGUUUUACAAUGCUGUUUUGGGGUCACCCAGGAGGUUUGUCCCUCUGAAGUGGGUUUAGUCUCGUGUCAGCAGAGCAGCUUUCCUGGGUCACACUCGCUGCCUGCUCGUCCAUUUCUAGCUCAGACACAGAAAGAACCCCUCAGGUCCCAAUCUGACUCCUGUGUGCCCUUCAGGGUCACCAGGAGCUCCCACCAGCCUGGGGGCGGGGGGGGGGUCUGUCCAUUCUGUCCUGGGGAAGCCUUCGUAUCCUCAGGUGGAAGAGGCAAGAGGUACUCAUGGGGCCUCCCUUGUGCAGCACAGUCUCCAGCACCCACCUACUGACCUUAUUGCUCUGGAUGAGGGGGCCAAGGACCUGCAGCAUCUUCUGGUUCUCAUUUCAUUCCAGCAAUGCUCACAGGAAAAUCAUGCUAAGCAACUCUGUGCUGGCUACAAAUAGAAGACGCUUGUUCACAUGCCCCUCCCAGUGCAUGGGGCUCUUUUGGUCAGGCUCCUCCCAGGAUAUGGGGCUCACCUGGGGAGGCAUCAUGACAGGGCUCAGCACAAAGCCCUCACUGCAGACCACUCCCAGCCCCACUUGCUAGAGCUGACCCUGAGUACCUCAGAGCAGGAUCUGAACAAACAGCAGCUCUUGGACAGGUCUGUGCCCCAGGCUUCACUCUGUGCAGCCUCCCUUCACUAGGUUUUCCAGAGGCUUAAGCUACACCAGAGUAUCUGGCCUCAGUCUCCACCUACCUCCCCUUCUCUCUUAACUCCUGGAUUUCUCUCAUGAGGAGAGGGUUUUCUUGAAAUUAUCUCCCACUCAUGGGCCAGUUAAAAUGAUCAGGAAACAAGCUAGAGCUGCAGCCC